GCAAGUCGAGGGGCAGCAUUACUUUCGGGUAGAUGCGACCGGCGCACGGGUGCGUAACGCGUAUACAACCUACCCUUUACAGGAGGAUAGCCCGAAGAAAUUCGGAUUAAUACUGCAUAGUAUGAAUUAUUCGCAUGAAUGAUUUAUUAAAGAUUUAUCGGUAAAGGAUGGGUAUGCGUGACAUUAGGUAGUUGGUAAGGUAACGGCUUACCAAGCCAUUGAUGUCUAGGGGUCCUGAGAGGGUGAUC
This 248-nucleotide ribosomal RNA is filed under the name uncultured bacterium. RNAcentral's name for it is "partial 16S ribosomal RNA". It matches the Rfam family "Bacterial small subunit ribosomal RNA", at positions 57 to 305 of the family's 1533-position model. The record is from RNAcentral.